CCUGCCCUGUGACUCUAUGUUUAACGGCCGCGGUAUUUUAACCGUGCAAAGGUAGCGCAAUCACUUGUCUUUUAAAUAGAGACCUGUAUGAAUGGCAUUACGAGGGCUUAACUGUCUCCUUUUUCAAGUCAAUGAAAUUGAUCUCCCCGUGCAGAAGCGGGGAUGAGCCCAUAAGACGAGAAGACCCUGUGGAGCUUUAGACUAUGGCAGAUCAUGUUAAGUAACCCUCUACCGGCAAUAAACUAGAUGACCCCUGCCCCAUGUCUUCGGUUGGGGCGACCAUGGGGUAAAACAAAACCCCCACGCGGAUACGGGAGCACUCCCCCUUAAAGCAAGAGCCUCCGCUCUAAUAAGCAGAACUUCUGACCCAAUAGAUCCGGCGAAGCCGAUCAACGGACCAAGUUACCCCAGGGAUAACAGCGCAAUCCUCUUUUAGAGUCCAUAUCGACAAGAGGGUUUACGACCUCGAUGUUGGAUCAGGACAUCCUAAUGGUGCAGCCGCUAUUAAGGGUUCGUUUGUUCAACGAUUAAUGUCCUACGUGAUCU
RNAcentral lists this ribosomal RNA (546 nucleotides) under Haemulopsis leuciscus. RNAcentral's name for it is "partial 16S ribosomal RNA". It matches the Rfam family "Bacterial large subunit ribosomal RNA", at positions 1858 to 2606 of the family's 2925-position model. Lineage: Eukaryota; Metazoa; Chordata; Actinopteri; Lutjaniformes; Haemulidae. The record is from RNAcentral.